UCGAACGGUAACAUAGCCUAGCUUGCUAGCUGAUGACGAGUGGCGGACGGGUGAGUAACGCGUAGGAAUCUACCUAUUAGUGGGGGACAACCUGGUGAAAACCAGGCUAAUACCGCAUACGCCCUACGGGGGAAAGCAGGGGAUCUUCGGACCUUGCGCUAUUAGAUGAGCCUGCGUUAGAUUAGCUUGUUGGUGAGGUAAAGGCUCACCAAGGCGACGAUCUAUAGCUGGUCUGAGAGGAUGAUCAGCCACACUGGGACUGAGACACGGCCCAGACUCCUACGGGAGGCAGCAGUGGGGAAUAUUGCGCAAUGGGCGAAAGCCUGACGCAGCCAUACCGCGUGUGUGAAGAAGGGUUUAGGCUCGUAAAGCACUUUAAGUAGGGAGGAAGGUCUGUAACUUAAUACGUUGCAGAAUUGACGUUACCUACAGAAUAAGCACCGGCUAACUCCGUGCCAGCAGCCGCGGUAAUACGGAGGGUGCAAGCGUUAAUCGGAAUUACUGGGCGUAAAGCGCGCGUAGGCAGUUUGUUAAGCGAGAUGUGAAAGCCCAGGGCUCAACCUUGGAACUGCAUUUCGAACUGGCAGGCUAGAGUACAAGAGAGGGUGGUAGAAUUUCCUGUGUAGCGGUGAAAUGCGUAGAUAUAGGAAGGAAUACCAGUGGCGAAGGCGGCCACCUGGCUUGAUACUGACGCUGAGGUGCGAAAGCGUGGGGAGCGAACAGGAUUAGAU
This 731-nucleotide ribosomal RNA is filed under the name uncultured Gammaproteobacteria bacterium. RNAcentral describes it as "bacterial SSU rRNA". It matches the Rfam family "Bacterial small subunit ribosomal RNA", at positions 62 to 783 of the family's 1533-position model. Lineage: Bacteria; Pseudomonadati; Pseudomonadota; Gammaproteobacteria. The record is from RNAcentral.